This 253-nucleotide ribosomal RNA is filed under the name uncultured bacterium. RNAcentral's name for it is "partial 16S ribosomal RNA". It matches the Rfam family "Bacterial small subunit ribosomal RNA", at positions 524 to 776 of the family's 1533-position model. The record is from RNAcentral.
UACGUAGGGUGCAAGCGUUAAUCGGAAUUACUGGGCGUAAAGCGUGCGCAGGCGGCUUUGCAAGUCAGAUGUGAAAUCCCCAGGCUCAACCUGGGAACUGCACUCGAAACUUCCGGUCUAGAGUGGUGGAGAGGGAAGUGGAAUUCCUGGUGUAGAGGUGAAAUUCGUAGAUAUCAGGAGGAACACCAGUGGCGAAGGCGGCUUCCUGGACACCAACUGACGCUGAGACGCGAAAGCGUGGGGAGCAAACAGG